AGAGUUUGAUCAUGGCUCAGGACGAACGCUGGCGGCGUGCUUAACACAUGCAAGUCGAACGGAAAGGCCCCCUUGUGGGGUACUCGAGUGGCGAACGGGUGAGUAACACGUGAGUAACCUACCCUUGACUUUGGGAUAACUUCAGGAAACUGGGGCUAAUACCGGAUAGGAGCUCCUGCUGCAUGGUGGGGGUUGGAAAGUUUCGGCGGUUGGGGAUGGACUCGCGGCUUAUCAGCUUGUUGGUGGGGUAGUGGCUCACCAAGGCUUUGACGGGUAGCCGGCCUGAGAGGGUGACCGGCCACAUUGGGACUGAGAUACGGCCCAGACUCCUACGGGAGGCAGCAGUGGGGAAUAUUGCACAAUGGGCGGAAGCCUGAUGCAGCAACGCCGCGUGCGGGAUGACGGCCUUCGGGUUGUAAACCGCUUUCGCCUGUGACGAAGCGUGAGUGACGGUAAUGGGUAAAGAAGCACCGGCUAACUACGUG
This 485-nucleotide ribosomal RNA is filed under the name uncultured bacterium. RNAcentral's name for it is "bacterial SSU rRNA". It matches the Rfam family "Bacterial small subunit ribosomal RNA", at positions 8 to 507 of the family's 1533-position model. The record is from RNAcentral.